CAAUAGCGUAUAUUAAAGUUGUUGCAGUUAAAAAGCUCGUAGUUGAAUUUUUGCUUGCCGCCGAUGUCGGAACUUCCGUACGUUCGGCGGCGUGCAUCCUUGGGUGGAACCUGUGUGGCAUUAGGUUGUCGUGCAGGGGAUGUUCAUCGUUUACUGUGAAAAAAUUAGAGUGUUCAAAGCAGGCUUACGCCGUUGAAUAUAUUAGCAUGGAAUAAUAAGAUAGGACCUUGGUACUAUUUUGUUGGUUUGCGCACCGAGGUAAUGAUUAACAGGGACAGUUGGGGGUAUUCGUAUUCCAUUGUCAGAGGUGAAAUUCUUGGAUUUCUGGAAGACGAACUACUGCGAAAGCAUUUACCAAGGAUGUUUUCAUUAA
RNAcentral lists this ribosomal RNA (373 nucleotides) under uncultured eukaryote. Its description in RNAcentral is "partial 18S ribosomal RNA". It matches the Rfam family "Eukaryotic small subunit ribosomal RNA", at positions 592 to 976 of the family's 1831-position model. The record is from RNAcentral.